Molecule: long non-coding RNA, 221 nt
Filed under: Homo sapiens (human)
Lineage: Eukaryota; Metazoa; Chordata; Mammalia; Primates; Hominidae
Description: non-protein coding lnc-COL4A2-1:1
Source: RNAcentral
GCUGAAUAGACUGCUCAACCUCUCUGAGGCUGGUGUUCUUAUCUUCAAACGGGGAUAAAAGAUCUACCAGUCUAGGCUAGAAGUCUGAAAUCAAGGCAUCGGGAGGCCAUGCUCCAAGACUCUGAGUGGAACCCUCUUUGCCUUUUCCUGACUUCUGGUGGUGCCGGCGGCCCUUGAUGUUCUUGGCUCUUUAAGCAUCUCUGCAACCUCUGCCAUCAUCU